CAUCGAUGGAUGCCCUCUACUGGAGAUCAAGGCCACACAUUGGGCAUGUGCCCUGACAGGGAAUCGAACUGUGACCUCCUGGUUCAUAGGUCAAUGCUCAACCACUGAGCCACAUUGGCCAAGCCACACAGAUUUGAUUUUUCAAGCUUUUAUAACUUCUAAGGUAAAAUUAUCUCUUGAGGAAAACAAAGGUGCAAAUCUUAAGUUGUUGCUUAAGAUACUAAGAUUCAUGCUCUAGAGUUCAUGUUCUCAUAACUUGGCCCAUGAAUAGUUGCAACCUUGGAGUAAAUGCACAGACAGUGACUUCUGUUAAAACAUGUUCCCUUUUUGUAUGAUGUGGGAAAUAACAAUGUAUUACGUGUAUAAACAUGCACUAUGCACUUGUAUUUGAAUAAAAAGCACUGGCUAGAUUAAUGUGAA
Molecule: long non-coding RNA, 420 nt
Organism: Pipistrellus kuhlii (Kuhl's pipistrelle)
Lineage: Eukaryota; Metazoa; Chordata; Mammalia; Chiroptera; Vespertilionidae
Exons: 2
Source: RefSeq, a predicted model, not a curated record